UCAAUAUGUCUGUUAUAACAGACACUAAACACUGUGCACUGAUCCGAUAAUGCUAUUGUGCUCUGCAGUUUUCCAUUCAUUCAUUGGUGUUCUGAGAAGGCCAGCCUUAGUUUUGUUUAUAUUGUCAACAUGGUGUGUGCAGGUUCUUGGGCCAUUGUAAAAGUACAAACCGCAACCACCCACUAUAGAAUAAUGCAGUAUUAAUAUGUCGUCGAUGAUGGUACUAUAGGGGUGUAAGUGUGGAAAAUUAGUAGACUGAUAAUGGAAUAUUCAUGAACUUUCAAUACUGGUACCUUACGUACAGGAAAACAGAUUUAUGGCUUCUCUGAUCAUCCUCCUCCCUUCCUGAUAUUAAAGCAUCUCAAGUCCAUCCUCCAAGACCUGACUGGAGGUAGGCUUCUUCCAGAGUUCACCUUCAGUUUUUAAGUAUCCUGUGUAUCUGUUGGCUCGCUGGGGUCAAUCAGGAGCGAACACACUUUCUCAAUUGAGAAACUAUGCUUCUCAGCCAAUCAAAAUCAAGGAAAGUUGUCGGUUCUUGGGAGACGAAAUCUUUUAUUUGAUUCCUGAAUCAACUUGGAGUUCUUUUUGUGCGAAUAAUGCAU
Lytechinus pictus (painted urchin) is the source of this 602-nucleotide long non-coding RNA. RefSeq lists it as uncharacterized. The record is from RefSeq and is a predicted model, not a curated record. The transcript is spliced from 3 exons. Lineage: Eukaryota; Metazoa; Echinodermata; Echinoidea; Temnopleuroida; Toxopneustidae.